RNAcentral lists this long non-coding RNA (1696 nucleotides) under Ovis aries (sheep). RNAcentral describes it as "lncRNA (ENSOARG00000025957.1)". The record is from RNAcentral. Lineage: Eukaryota; Metazoa; Chordata; Mammalia; Artiodactyla; Bovidae.
UAGUAGCAAAAGUCUUCAAUUAAUGUGGAAAUGAUGGUGGUAUGCCCUGGGACACGUAUGUGAUAACAAGAGGAGAGACUGGAAACUAUUAUAAAUCAAAUUGCCACAUUAAAAGGCAAGAUCAGGAGCAGAUGAAACUGGUAUUUAGAAAAAAAAUUAGCAAGUAAAGUGAAGUUGUUUUAUCAGUUCAGUUCAGUUCAGUCUCUCAGUCGUGUCCGACUCUUUGCGACCCCGUGAAUUGCAGCACGCCAGGCCUCCCUGUCCAUCACCAACUCCCGGAGUUCACUCAGACUCACGUCCAUCGAGUCCGUGAUGCCAUCCAGCCAUCUCAUCCUCUGUCAUCCCCUUCUCCUUCUGCCCCCAAUCCCUCCCAGUAUCAGAGUCUUUUCCAAUGAGUCAACUCUUCGCAUAAGGUGGCCAAAGUACUGGAGUUUCAGCUUUAGCAUCAUUGCUUCCAAAGAAAUCCAGGACUGAUCUCCUUCAGAACGGACUGGUAGGAUCUCCUUGUAGUCCAAGGGACUCUCAAGAGUCUUCUCCAACACCACAGUUCAAAAGCAUCAAUUCUUUGGCACUCAGCCUUCUUCACAGUCCAACUCUCACAUCCAUACAUGACCACAGGAAAAACAAUAGUCUUGACUAGGCGGACCGUAGUCGGCAAAGUAAUGUCUCUGCUUUUCAAUAUACUAUCUAGGUUGGUCAUAACUUUAAUUCCAAGGAGCAAGCGUCUUUUAAUUUCAUGGCUGCAAUCACCAUCUGCACUGAUCUUCGAGCUAAAAUAAAUAAAUAAAUAAAUAAAUAAAUAAAAAUAAAGUUUAACACUGUUUCCACUGUUUCCCCAUCUAUUUCCCAUGAAGUGAUGGGACCAGAUGCCAUGAUCUUCGUUUUCUGAAUGUUGAGCUUUAAGCCAACUUUUUCACUCUCCUCUUUCACUUUCAUCAAGAGGCUUUUUAGUUCCUCUUCACUUUCUGCCAUAUCUGAGGUUAUUGAUAUUUCUCCUGGCAAUCUUGAUUCUAGCUUGUGCUUCAUCCAGUCCAGCAUUUCUCAUGAUGUACUCUGCAUAUAAGUUAGGUAAGCAGGGUGACAAUAUACAGCCUUGACAUACUACUUUCCUGAAUUGCAAACAGUCUGUUGUUCCAUGUCCAGUUCUAACUGUUGCUUUUUGACCUGCAUACAGAUUUCUCAGGAGGCAUGUAAGUUGGUCUGGUAUUCCCAUCUCUUGAAGAAUUUUCCACAGUUUGUUGUGAUCCACAUAGUCAAAAGCUUUUUGCAUAGUCAAUAAAGCAGAAGUAGAUGUUUUUUCUGGAACCCUUGCUUUUUCAAUGAUCCAGGGGAUGCUGGUAAUUUGAUCUCUGGUUCCUCUGCCUUUUCGAAUUUCAACUUGAACAUCUGGAGGUUCAUGCUUCAUGUACUGUUGAAGCCUGGUUCGGAGAAUUUUGAUCAUUACUUUACUAGUGUGAGAGAUAAGUGCAAUUGUGCAGUAGUUUGAGCAUUCUUUGGCAUUGCCUUUCUUUGGGAUUGGAACGAAAACUGACCUUUUCCAGUCCAGUGGCCACUGCUGAGUUUUCCAAAUCCGCUGGCAUAUUAUCAAAUUGGAUUAAAAAAUUUAAAUUGUAUUAAAAGAUUAUCAGAUUGAAUUAAAAAACAACAAGACUCAGGUAUAUACUGCUGACAAGAAUCCUAUGAAAGAUAUAAAUGU